GACGAACGCUGGCGGCGUGCUUAACACAUGCAAGUCGAACGGAAAGGCCCUGCUUUUGUGGGUGGCUCGAGUGCCGAAGGGGUGAGUAACACGUGAGUAACCUCCCCUUAACUUUGGGAUAACUUCAGGAAACUGGGGCUAUAACCGGAUAGGAGCUCCUGCGGCAUGGUGGGGGUUGGAAAGUUUCGGCGGUGGGGGAUGGACUCGCGGCUUAUCAGCUUGUUGGUGGGGUAGUGGCUUACCAAGGCUUUGACGGGUAGCCGGCCUGAGAGGGUGACCGGCCACAUUGGGACUGAGAUACGGCCCAGACUCCUACGGGAGGCAGCAGUGGGGAAUAUUGCACAAUGGGCGGAAGCCUGAUGCAGCAACGCCGCGUGCGGGAUGACGGCCUUCGGGUUGUAAACCGCUUUCGCCUGUGACGAAGCGUGAGUGACGGUAAUGGGUAAAGAAGCACCGGCUAACUACGUG
RNAcentral lists this ribosomal RNA (468 nucleotides) under uncultured bacterium. RNAcentral describes it as "partial 16S ribosomal RNA". It matches the Rfam family "Bacterial small subunit ribosomal RNA", at positions 28 to 507 of the family's 1533-position model. The record is from RNAcentral.